ACGGAAGGCCAUAUCACCCUGAACGCGCCCGAUCUCGUCUGAUCUCGGAAGCUAAGCAGGGUCGGGCCUGGUUAGUACUUGGAUGGGUGACCUAGCACUUUGCACA
RNAcentral lists this ribosomal RNA (106 nucleotides) under Oryctolagus cuniculus (rabbit). Lineage: Eukaryota; Metazoa; Chordata; Mammalia; Lagomorpha; Leporidae. The record is from RNAcentral.